Molecule: long non-coding RNA, 919 nt
Filed under: Nicotiana benthamiana
Lineage: Eukaryota; Viridiplantae; Streptophyta; Magnoliopsida; Solanales; Solanaceae
Description: long non-coding RNA (NBEN_LNC035351)
Source: RNAcentral
AAAGCUGGAAAGUAAAAGAAACAUAGGGGUAAUAAUGCGAGAUCCUUCUUACAGCCGUAAAGAAAAAUGGGACUGAAAAGGGUUAAAAAGGUUUGGUUAUAAAGAUGGGGAUGAGUUUUGAUUAGGGGAGACGUUGAAGAGGACAAUCUGAAAGGGAGAAAAUCUGAGAAAUUUUUUAAGCAAUCUCAAGCUUGAAAACAGAUUGAGAAUACAUACAUUAAAAGAGAGUUUUGGAGUCAGUAGUUUAGUGAUCCUUUAUCCAUGUUCAUAUUUCAGCACUUAAUAGAGGUUUAGCUCAUUUAGGAUCAGAAAUCAGUUGAAUCACCUAGUGCUGUUUGAUAUCUGAUGGUGUGAAAGUGGUAGGUGCUGGUUUUGGUUAUUCCAAGUUGACUGUGGGUUAUCUGUUGAGUGUGUGUUCAUUUCUGGGAAAUUUGUUGCUGUGUUGGGGGUUAAUAUACCAAUCCCGUUUGGUUUCAAACUCUUUCUGGGCUGUGAUUCAAGUUCCUAGGCUGUGCAUUUGCUACUGUUUGAUUAUCUCUUGGUCUGCUAUUGUACUGCUGCUGCUGAUCUCUUCUUAUGUUAAAACUCCAUUUCCAAGUACACGAAUCGAGACUCUAUGGCUGUAGCUUUACAUGAUUGAAACAUAAAAUCAAUGGAGAUUGACCAAAUGUCUUCUGUUGAUUUUAAUUGAUUCGUUGUCUGUGAUUUGAACUUAGACACUAGUUCAAUGUGUGGAAAAAAAUUAGUUUUGUAAUCAUAUGAACUAGAUUCGAAUAGAGCUGUUGUAUAAUUUGAACUACAAUUGGACUUUGUUAGCUAUCUUUUGGUACAAACUGUUAGGCAGUAUGAGAAUUUGUGUUCCUCAUUAACUGGGAAUUUGCAUGUUCGAUAGUUCUGUUAUUUUGAAAGUCUUUCUGUG